CCUACGGGUGGCAGCAGUGAGGAAUAUUGGUCAAUGGGCGCAAGCCUGAACCAGCCAAGUCGCGUGAAGGAAGACGGCCCUAUGGUUUGUAAACUUCUUUUAUCGGGGAGUAAAAGUCGCCACGUGUGGCGUUUUGCAUGUACCCUAUGAAUAAGCAUCGGCUAACUCCGUGCCAGCAGCCGCGGUAAUACGGAGGAUGCGAGCGUUAUCCGGAUUUAUUGGGUUUAAAGGGUGCGUAGGUUGUAUUUUAAGUCAGCGGUGAAAGUUUGUGGCUCAACCUUAAAAUUGCCGUUGAAACUGGAAGUCUUGAGUGUGUGAGAGGUAGGCGGAAUGCGUGGUGUAGCGGUGAAAUGCAUAGAUAUCACGCAGAACUCCGAUUGCGAAGGCAGCUUAC
This 394-nucleotide ribosomal RNA is filed under the name uncultured bacterium. Its description in RNAcentral is "partial 16S ribosomal RNA". It matches the Rfam family "Bacterial small subunit ribosomal RNA", at positions 338 to 729 of the family's 1533-position model. The record is from RNAcentral.